AGUACAAGGUGACGUAUUGAUCCACAGGCCAAAUUUGGUCGCCGGGCCCGUGGUGAGCGAAUGGCGAAACCAACACCUGCAUCA
Molecule: non-coding RNA, 84 nt
Filed under: unclassified sequences
Description: c-di-GMP sequence
Rfam family: c-di-GMP-II-GAG riboswitch aptamer
Source: RNAcentral